This is a non-coding RNA of Cinara cedri, 407 nucleotides long. The record is from the annotation of a GenBank genome assembly. NCBI's taxonomy places the organism in Eukaryota, Metazoa, Arthropoda, Insecta, Hemiptera, Aphididae.
CAUAACAAUCAAUAUUUUUUUUUUAUAGAAAACAAGCCCUUAAUGGCCAUAUCAGUUUAUUUUUGGAAUUUCAUCUUUUUUCCAUUCAGCUGUUCAAAUAAUAAAUUGAUCAUUAUUCUUUACUCCUCCAGUCUUAACUUUAAAUUUUUAUAACUCAAAUGGUAAAUUUGAUAUAAUUAUAUCAACAUUUCUAGUAGAGUAUUCUCUAGUUGAAUCUGUGAUUGAUGAAAGCAGGAGACUGUUAUUUAAAAAUCCUAAGUGGAUACUCAAUUCAGGUAAAAGGAAGGAAAACAAAUUGAAAAUAGUGGUAGAAUAAAGAUAAAAUGUCAAUAAUGAUAAAAAAAAAAAAAAAAAAAAAAAAAAAAAAACAGAAAUCAAAUUCACUUAAAAUCUUUAGAGAAAAUUGG